CCUACGGGAGGCAGCAGUAAGGAAUAUUGGUCAAUGGAGGCAACUCUGAACCAGCCAUGCCGCGUGCAGGAAGAAGGCCCUAUGGGUCGUAAACUGCUUUUGUACCAGAGAAAACCCGAGUACGUGUACUCGGUUGAUAGUAUGGUAAGAAUAAGCAUCGGCUAACUUCGUGCCAGCAGCCGCGGUAAGACGAAGGAUGCAAGCGUUAUCCGGAUUCAUUGGGUUUAAAGGGUGCGUAGGCGGACUGAUAAGUCAGUGGUGAAAUCUCUCAGCUUAACUGAGAAACUGCCAUUGAUACUGUUAGUCUAGAGUAUAGAUGACGUUGGCGGAAUAUGACAUGUAGUGGUGAAAUACUUAGAUAUGUCAUAGAACACCGAUUGCGAAGGCAGCUAACGAAACUAUAAACUGACGCUGAGGCACGAAAGUGCGGGGAUCAAACAGGAUUAGAUACCCUAGGUAGUCCGCACCGUAAACGAUGAUUACUCGUUGUUGGCAAUAUGACCGUCAGCGACCAAGCGAAAGCGAUAAGAAUCCACCUGGGGAGUACGCCGGCAACGGUGAAACGUCGAAAGGAAUUAGACGG
RNAcentral lists this ribosomal RNA (583 nucleotides) under uncultured bacterium. RNAcentral describes it as "bacterial SSU rRNA". It matches the Rfam family "Bacterial small subunit ribosomal RNA", at positions 338 to 916 of the family's 1533-position model. The record is from RNAcentral.